GAUGAACGCUAGCUACAGGCUUAACACAUGCAAGUCGAGGGGCAGCAUGGACUCAGCUUUGCUGAGUUUGAUGGCGACCGGCGCACGGGUGAGUAACGCGUAUCCAACCUGCCCUUUACUCCGGGAUAGUCUCCUGAAAGGGAGUUUAAUACCGGAUGUGUUUGUUUUUCCGCAUGGGAGCGACAAAUAAAGAUUAAUUGGUAAAGGAUGGGGAUGCGUCCCAUUAGCUUGUUGGCGGGGUAACGGCCCACCAAGGCAACGAUGGGUAGGGGUUCUGAGAGGAAGGUCCCCCACAUUGGAACUGAGACACGGUCCAAACUCCUACGGGAGGCAGCAGUGAGGAAUAUUGGUCAAUGGGCGAGAGCCUGAACCAGCCAAGUAGCGUGAAGGACGACGGCCCUACGGGUUGUAAACUUCUUUUAUAAGGGAAUAAAGUUCGCCACGUGUGG
This 449-nucleotide ribosomal RNA is filed under the name uncultured bacterium. RNAcentral's name for it is "bacterial SSU rRNA". It matches the Rfam family "Bacterial small subunit ribosomal RNA", at positions 28 to 465 of the family's 1533-position model. The record is from RNAcentral.